CGCGUAGGUAAUCUACCCUUAUACCUGGGAUAACAUUGGGAAACUGGUGCUAAUACCGGAUGGUCUUCUUUGCUGCGGGGCAGAGGAGUAAAGGUGGCCUCUUCAUGAAAGCUACCGUACAGGGAUGAGCCUGCGUACCAUUAGCUAGUAGGCGGGGUAACGGCCCACCUAGGCAACGAUGGUUAGCGGGUCUGAGAGGAUGAUCCGCCACACUGGAACUGGAACACGGACCAG
RNAcentral lists this ribosomal RNA (234 nucleotides) under uncultured bacterium. Its description in RNAcentral is "partial 16S ribosomal RNA". It matches the Rfam family "Bacterial small subunit ribosomal RNA", at positions 114 to 334 of the family's 1533-position model. The record is from RNAcentral.